GAUGAACGCUGGCGGCGUGCCUAAUACAUGCAAGUAGAACGCUGAAGCUUGGUGCUUGCACCGAGCGGAUGAGUUGCGAACGGGUGAGUAACGCGUAGGUAACCUGCCUGGUAGCGGGGGAUAACUAUUGGAAACGAUAGCUAAUACCGCAUGACAACAGUUAUUGCAUGAUAACUGUUUAAAAGGGGCAAUUGCUCCACUACCAGAUGGACCUGCGUUGUAUUAGCUAGUUGGUGAGGUAACGGCUCACCAAGGCGACGAUACAUAGCCGACCUGAGAGGGUGAUCGGCCACACUGGGACUGAGACACGGCCCAGACUCCUACGGGAGGCAGCAGUAGGGAAUCUUCGGCAAUGGACGGAAGUCUGACCGAGCAACGCCGCGUGAGUGAAGAAGGUUUUCGGAUCGUAAAGCUCUGUUGUAAGAGAAGAACGAGUGUGAGAGUGGAAAGUUCACACUGUGACGGUAUCUACCAG
RNAcentral lists this ribosomal RNA (475 nucleotides) under Streptococcus sp. oral taxon 074. RNAcentral describes it as "bacterial SSU rRNA". It matches the Rfam family "Bacterial small subunit ribosomal RNA", at positions 28 to 486 of the family's 1533-position model. Lineage: Bacteria; Bacillati; Bacillota; Bacilli; Lactobacillales; Streptococcaceae. The record is from RNAcentral.